UACGAAGGGGGCUAGCGUUGUUCGGCAUUACUGGGCGUAAAGCGCACGCCGGCGGAUUUAUAAGUCAGGGGUGAAAUCCCGGGGCUCAACCUCGGAAUUGCCUUUGAUACUGUCUAUCUUGAGUCCGGGAGAGGUGAGUGGAAUUCCUAGUGUAGAGGUGAAAUUCGUAGAUAUUAGGAAGAACACCAGUGGCGAAGGCGGCUCACUGGCCCGGUACUGACGCUCAUGUGCGAAAGCGUGGGGAGCAAACAGG
This 253-nucleotide ribosomal RNA is filed under the name uncultured bacterium. RNAcentral's name for it is "partial 16S ribosomal RNA". It matches the Rfam family "Bacterial small subunit ribosomal RNA", at positions 524 to 776 of the family's 1533-position model. The record is from RNAcentral.